Molecule: small nuclear RNA, 162 nt
Filed under: Echinops telfairi (small Madagascar hedgehog)
Lineage: Eukaryota; Metazoa; Chordata; Mammalia; Afrosoricida; Tenrecidae
Description: U1 spliceosomal RNA (ENSETEG00000022098.1)
Rfam family: U1 spliceosomal RNA
About the family: U1 is a small nuclear RNA (snRNA) component of the spliceosome (involved in pre-mRNA splicing). Its 5' end forms complementary base pairs with the 5' splice junction, thus defining the 5' donor site of an intron. There are significant differences in sequence and secondary structure between metazoan and yeast U1 snRNAs, the latter being much longer (568 nucleotides as compared to 164 nucleotides in human).
Source: RNAcentral
AUACUUACCUGGCAGGGGAAAUACCAUGAUCAUGAAGGUGGUUUUCCCAGGGCGAAGCUUAUCCAUUGCACUCCGGAUGUGCUGACCCCUGCAAUUUCUCCAAAUGUGGGAAACUAAAUUGCAUAAUUUGUGGUAGUGGGGGACUGCAUUCACACUCUCUCU